Molecule: long non-coding RNA, 1181 nt
Filed under: Struthio camelus australis
Lineage: Eukaryota; Metazoa; Chordata; Aves; Struthioniformes; Struthionidae
Description: lncRNA (ENSSCUG00000008992.1)
Source: RNAcentral
CUUAAGUGAUUUUUUUGAGCCAUGAACAUUAAAAUAUGAUUAAAAAGCCAUUUUUAAGUCUAGCUUGUAUUUACACAUUUUAAUUGGGAACGAAAGAAAAGCAAGCUGUUUGCAAAACUAAUGUGUUUACAUGAAGCUUCAGUAUUAUCUGAAAUCACCGAUUACAUGAUGAAGCCGCGUAGAUAAUCAGUUUUGUCAGUUUGAGGAUUGAAAAAGCCAAAUAAACCAACGAAGAAUAAAAAAACUCACGACUUGGAGAAACAGUAUUGUGACUGAGAUGAAAGCAGUAAUUCUGUUUUAGUCCUGCUUUGCAUAAAGAAUGGGAAAAGAUAAAUUUAAUUUUAGUUGAGAUAGAUUAUGAUUGUACUGAAACUUUCCUGUUUUUUUCAGUGACACGCUCAUAAAAGAUGAUAGUUUAAGUACUGUGGGGACGAGAAUGUCAUGGCCACUGAUUAUCACUUUGAAUAACGUGAUCUUCGCAGGACAAGAGAGCCAACAGGAAAUACGACCAAGUUAUCUUGGUCUAAGAAGCAGUUUAAUGGUCGUCUCUGUAUCUCCAAUCAGCAUCUCUUCAGGGCUCAUCAGUGCAACAUUGUGAACAAUUAAAGCACAUCUCAUCACUGCAAUGCGCUUAGGUGCACUUGCUAAGAUAUUCCGCUCCAUUGCGUACCCCGGAGGCGAGACCAGCUUUAGGGCACAUGUGCCCAAGUUUCUGUGUCUCAUCCUGGUGACGGCUACACACAUCCUGAUGCUGCCUUGCUGCUCAGAAGACGUCUUGGAUCCAAGCGGGAUCUCAGAGGUUCUUCUAAGUCCUGACUUGUGAUGCAGUUCUUGUUACAUGGAAAGAAGAUGCCAUCUCCUAACUGGUCCCAUUUAUAUUAAUACUUGUUAUAAGAUGAAAAACACCGCAAUAAUUAUUUCCUUGGGUAUUUCAGAUGAAAGCUUAGUUGAACUAUUACCAAACUUGAUUUUUAAAAGUGAAGGGACUUAUAGUAUAAAACCUCUGUAUGCUCUCUCUGCUUAAGCUUACAUUCAGCUCCUGCCUGUUCCUUUCCUGGCGCAAUUUUUUAUAGUGCUAAAAAUAAGUGUUUUUCUUACAAACAUAGUCAAAGCAAAUAGUGAAUAUCUGAAGAAAACUUUCUGAUAACAGGGAAUUUUCUGAUAAGAGGACGAGCCCUUUG